RNAcentral lists this ribosomal RNA (25 nucleotides) under Psammosilene tunicoides. RNAcentral's name for it is "partial 28S ribosomal RNA". Lineage: Eukaryota; Viridiplantae; Streptophyta; Magnoliopsida; Caryophyllales; Caryophyllaceae. The record is from RNAcentral.
CCCCAGUCAGGCGGGNUACCCCUUA